This 339-nucleotide ribosomal RNA is filed under the name Triticum aestivum (bread wheat). RNAcentral's name for it is "partial small subunit ribosomal RNA". Lineage: Eukaryota; Viridiplantae; Streptophyta; Magnoliopsida; Poales; Poaceae. The record is from RNAcentral.
AUGUGGCAUAAAGCACCAUGUUCAAGUAGGGAUUACAGCGGGGUGCGGGACAGUGGACCGCGUCAAAGAGAUGAGGAUGGCGAUGAUGAUGGUGAUGUUGAUGAAGACGGUCACCGCGAUGAUGAUUCCCCUCCUAAUGGCACUCCGGCGCCACCGAGAGUGAGGAGGGGAGGUUCUCUCCCUUGUGCUUCCUCCUCCAUGGCCUCCCCUCUGGAUGGGGAGAGGUUCUCCCUCUGGUCCUUGGCCUUCAUGGUGAUGAUGGCCCCUCCGGGAUCCUCUUCCAUAGCCUCCGGUGAUGAUGGCGCCCUCCGGCAGGGUGCCAGAGAGGGCCUAGAUUGA